This 1060-nucleotide ribosomal RNA is filed under the name Isoptericola dokdonensis. Its description in RNAcentral is "bacterial SSU rRNA". It matches the Rfam family "Bacterial small subunit ribosomal RNA", at positions 81 to 1162 of the family's 1533-position model. Lineage: Bacteria; Bacillati; Actinomycetota; Actinomycetes; Micrococcales; Promicromonosporaceae. The record is from RNAcentral.
UGCUGGGGGGAUCAGUGGCGAACGGGUGAGUAACACGUGAGCAACCUGCCCCCCACUUCGGGAUAAGCCUUGGAAACGGGGUCUAAUACCGGAUAUGAGUGCCUGCUGCAUGGUGGGUGCUGGAAAGUUUUUCGGUGGGGGAUGGGCUCGCGGCCUAUCAGCUUGUUGGUGGGGUAAUGGCCUACCAAGGCGUCGACGGGUAGCCGGCCUGAGAGGGCGACCGGCCACACUGGGACUGAGACACGGCCCAGACUCCUACGGGAGGCAGCAGUGGGGAAUAUUGCACAAUGGGCGAAAGCCUGAUGCAGCGACGCCGCGUGAGGGAUGACGGCCUUCGGGUUGUAAACCUCUUUCAGCAGGGAAGAAGCGCAAGUGACGGUACCUGCAGAAGAAGCGCCGGCUAACUACGUGCCAGCAGCCGCGGUAAUACGUAGGGCGCAAGCGUUGUCCGGAAUUAUUGGGCGUAAAGAGCUCGUAGGCGGUUUGUCGCGUCUGGUGUGAAAACCUCAGGCUCAACCUGGGGCGUGCAUCGGGUACGGGCAGACUAGAGUGCGGUAGGGGAGACUGGAAUUCCUGGUGUAGCGGUGGAAUGCGCAGAUAUCAGGAGGAACACCGAUGGCGAAGGCAGGUCUCUGGGCCGCAACUGACGCUGAGGAGCGAAAGCAUGGGGAGCGAACAGGAUUAGAUACCCUGGUAGUCCAUGCCGUAAACGUUGGGCACUAGGUGUGGGGCUCAUUCCACGAGUUCCGUGCCGCAGCUAACGCAUUAAGUGCCCCGCCUGGGGAGUACGGCCGCAAGGCUAAAACUCAAAGGAAUUGACGGGGGCCCGCACAAGCGGCGGAGCAUGCGGAUUAAUUCGAUGCAACGCGAAGAACCUUACCAAGGCUUGACAUGCACCGGAAACACUCAGAGAUGGGUGCCCGCAAGGUCGGUGCACAGGUGGUGCAUGGUUGUCGUCAGCUCGUGUCGUGAGAUGUUGGGUAGUCCCGCACGAGCGCACCCUCGUCCUAUGUUGCCAGCGGGUUAUGCCGGGACUCAUGGGAGAACUGCCGGGGUCAAC